This 54-nucleotide non-coding RNA is filed under the name unclassified sequences. Its description in RNAcentral is "Li+-I sequence". It matches the Rfam family "nhaA-I RNA". From Rfam's summary of the family: Acidobacteria, Alphaproteobacteria, Betaproteobacteria and Gammaproteobacteria, Verrucomicrobia, cand. division NC10. The record is from Rfam by way of RNAcentral.
GGGUUCAGAGACUUAAAGGUUUCUGGAGGAUUUUUGAUGGUCGGGCCGCCAUCU